GCUGGCGGCGUGCCUAACACAUGCAAGUCGAGCGAUGAAAUCCUUCGGGAUGGAUUAGCGGCGGACGGGUGAGUAACACGUGGGUAACCUGCCUCAAAGAGGGGAAUAGCCUUCCGAAAGGAAGAUUAAUACCGCAUAAUAUGUUUUGGUCGCAUGAUCGAAACAUCAAAGGAGCAAUCCGCUUUGAGAUGGACCCGCGGCGCAUUAGCUAGUUGGUGAGGUAACGGCUCACCAAGGCGACGAUGCGUAGCCGACCUGAGAGGGUGAUCGGCCACAUUGGAACUGAGACACGGUCCAGACUCCUACGGGAGGCAGCAGUGGGGAAUAUUGCGCAAUGGGGGAAACCCUGACGCAGCAACGCCGCGUGAAUGAUGAAGGCCUUCGGGUUGUAAAGUUCUGUCUUCUGGGACGAUAAUGACGGUACCAGAGGAGGAAGCCACGGCUAACUACGUGCCAGCAGCCGCGGUAAUACGUAGGUGGCAAGCGUUGUCCGGAUUUACUGGGCGUAAAGGAUGCGUAGGCGGACAUUUAAGUCAGAUGUGAAAUACCCGAGCUUAACUUGGGUGCUGCAUUUGAAACUGGGUGUCUAGAGUGCAGGAGAGGUAAGUGGAAUUCCUAGUGUAGCG
This 626-nucleotide ribosomal RNA is filed under the name uncultured soil bacterium. Its description in RNAcentral is "bacterial SSU rRNA". It matches the Rfam family "Bacterial small subunit ribosomal RNA", at positions 35 to 680 of the family's 1533-position model. The record is from RNAcentral.